Molecule: unclassified non-coding RNA, 1178 nt
Filed under: Hevea brasiliensis (rubber tree)
Lineage: Eukaryota; Viridiplantae; Streptophyta; Magnoliopsida; Malpighiales; Euphorbiaceae
Source: RNAcentral
GAACAUAUUUGAAUGGCAAUUUGCAAUCAGGGGUCCACGAGAUUCUGAGUUUGAAGGGGGGAUUUAUCAUGGACGAAUUCAGUUGCCAGCCGAAUAUCCUUUCAAGCCUCCUUCUUUCAUGCUUUUGACACCAAAUGGACGUUUUGAAACUCAAACCAAGAUUUGUUUGAGUAUUUCUAAUCAUCAUCCCGAGCACUGGCAACCGUCCUGGAGUGUUCGCACUGCGUUGGUAGCUCUGAUCGCAUUUAUGCCUACCAGCCCAAAUGGUGCCCUUGGAUCACUAGAAUACACAAAGGAAGAAAGGCGUGUUUUAGCUAUUAAAUCUCGUGAUGUGGCUCCAAGAUAUGGGACUCCUGAGCGCCAGAAGCUGAUUGACGAGAUACAUGAAUACAUGCUAAGCAAAGCACCCCCAGUUCCUCAAGCUACUACCUCACCAGCUCCCGAAGAACAGAACAGUAAUAGAGAGGAGGAGGUUCAAGAGAGUCCUGAGAACCCCAGUAACGAGGCUACUGAAGAAAGACCUCCUAAUCCAUCUGUUGCUGACACAACUACUGAAGAAAGACGUGAAUUGGCUUUAGAUGCUGAUCCUGUACAGACACCUAUAGAGCCCCCUGCUGUACGGCCUAAUGAGCAUCGGACAUUGCAUACACCUCAACAGAGCAUUCCGCGGCAGGCUGAUGACCGUUUCUUCACAUGGGCAGCAGUUGGACUUACAAUCGCUAUACUUGCACUUCUGAUUAAGAAAUUCAUGAAAGCUAAUGGACACGGUGCUGUCUUUAUGGAUGAAUCGUAAAUCUGCUAGCAGUAAUUAUGAAGUUCGACAGGGGCAAUUUACUUCACUUACAGCCAAACUUAUGCAGAAAAAUGCAGUAAUUAUGGAGUUCGACAGGGGAAAUUUACUUCACUUUCAGCCAAACUUAUGCAGAAAAAAAUGUACUAUAUUUAUCCUUUUGCUAUUGUGACAUCGAUUAUAAAGAUUGUCCAAUGUGUAAACAUGAUUUACCAGAUAUUAUUUUCAUAGUGUUAUUGUAUAGAAAAACAAUUGUCUUUUCUCUGAGAUGUGAAGAAGUUAAGAUGAAGCAAAGAAACUCAGUUUGACAUUGACUGGUUUCUUUUUUCUUAAUACUCAAAACCAUGUACGUAUGUUGUUCGAGUAAAAGAGUAAUACAGUCGGAUUU